Molecule: long non-coding RNA, 306 nt
Organism: Camarhynchus parvulus
Lineage: Eukaryota; Metazoa; Chordata; Aves; Passeriformes; Thraupidae
Exons: 4
Source: RefSeq, a predicted model, not a curated record
CAAAAUUCCCCAAAUUUCCCCAAAUUUGCCCCAAAAUUCCCCCCAGGCCCGGGACCUGCGCUCCCAGGAGUUGGUGGCCAUCAAGAAAAUGUCCUACAGAGGCCGGGCCUCCAGCGAGAAGUGGCAGGACAUCGUCAGGGAGGUGAAGGUGCUGCAGAGGCUGAGGCACCCGAACACCGUGGGCUUCAGGGGCUGCUACCUCCGGGAGAACACGGCCUGGCUGGCCAUGGAGUUCUGUGUGGGAUCAGCCCUGGACCUGCUGGAAGCUGAUCAGGAGCCGCUGCGGGAGGACCGAGAGGGCCUGGG